UACGUAGGGCGCAAGCGUGUCCGGAAUUAUUGGGCGUAAAGAGCUCGUAGGCGGUCUGUCGCGUCGGCUGUGAAAACCCGAGGCUCAACCUCGGGCCUGCAGUCGAUACGGGGCAGACUAGAGUGCUGUAGGGGAGACUGGAAUUCCUGGUGUAGCGGUGAAAUGCGCAGAUAUCAGGAGGAACACCGGUGGCGAAGGCGGGUCUCUGGGCAGUAACUGACGUGGAGGAGCGAAAGCGUGGGGAGCAAACAGG
Molecule: ribosomal RNA, 253 nt
Filed under: uncultured bacterium
Lineage: Bacteria
Description: partial 16S ribosomal RNA
Rfam family: Bacterial small subunit ribosomal RNA
Source: RNAcentral